UUCUAGAAUGGAGACAGAAUGGGCCUGAGACAUAUUUCACAAAGAGGGGAGGUAUGCAAAGGGCCUGACGCAGGCAGAGUCUGGGGAAGGAGGCAGGGCAGUGUGGGACGCCCUGCAGGGCAGCCACAAGGAUGAGAAGAGAGGGUUUCUGAAGGUCCUUCACAUUUUUGCAUCUGGGUCACAUACCUCCAGCUUCUUCCGAAUUUUCAUCGUUACCCCCAGAUCAAGUAUCACCUCCUCUGGGAAGCCGCCUCUGGUUGACACAUCUCUAUUCCAUAUCAAGGUGAGCACCUUGCAGAUGAGGACUGAGGCUUAUUCCUCUCAGCUGAGGCCUGGACUAAGCAUGCACAGAAGAUCUUGGUUGAUUGGCUGAAUGAAUGAAUGGUUGGAUGAAUGGGCCCUUGCACAGAAGGCAGAGCCAUGAAGUCAUUGCAGCCAUUCCUGCCUCUUUCACACAAAGUCCACCCACUCGGCCUCACCACAGCCUUGUUGGUGAGCAGCCGCCUGCCCAGCUAGCAGGAUCGGGUACCAGGCUGGGGUGGAGAGUGUUGAUGUGGUACUUUAAACAUCACAACCAUCAGUUGAAAAUGUAGUUAGUGACUAAUAAAAUAAAGAGGCCAGACCUAUU
Molecule: non-coding RNA, 628 nt
Organism: Oryctolagus cuniculus (rabbit)
Lineage: Eukaryota; Metazoa; Chordata; Mammalia; Lagomorpha; Leporidae
Source: RefSeq, a predicted model, not a curated record